Molecule: transfer RNA, 90 nt
Filed under: Candidatus Aquivivens invisus
Lineage: Bacteria; Pseudomonadati; Candidatus Omnitrophota
Also listed under: 6 other names
Description: Omnitrophica WOR_2 bacterium GWA2_63_20 tRNA-Ser
Rfam family: tRNA
About the family: Transfer RNA (tRNA) molecules are approximately 80 nucleotides in length. Their secondary structure includes four short double-helical elements and three loops (D, anti-codon, and T loops).
Source: RNAcentral
GGAGAGGUAUCCAAGUGGUUGACGGAGCCGCUCUCGAAAAGCGGUAGGCCCGCAAGGGUCUCGUGGGUUCGAAUCCCACCCUCUCCGCCA